AAGGGUAGCAGGGGCGGAGCCACGGUGGGUUCAAGUGGGUUCAUUGAACCCACUGAUUUUUUGAAAAAAAUUAAAAACUUUUUUUUUUAAAAAAAAAAAAAAAUCAAAAUAGGUUUAAAUAGAAUAUUUGUGUAUUAUAUGGCAACAAGUAAAGUUGUAGCCCAGUGGUUAUUUUUACCUCUCAUCAUACAAUGAUACAAGAGUUUGUGGGUUCAGGUUUCGAAACCCAUAACUCACACUUUUAUUUUUUCAUUUUGUUUCCUUUCAUCCUGCUUCCCCUAAUCCCCUGCUUCCAGCUUUCCUCUUCCUCAUUCCCCCAAAUUGCAAAACCCUAACUUCUUCCUCCUUCUCUUAAUCUCUUCCCGUUCUUCCUCCUUGGCUCCUUCUCUUCCCGUUCUUCCUCCUUGGCUCCUUCUCUUCCCGGCGCACGGGCGCAGCACCGCAGAAGUCCGCAGCAGCCACUCAGGCACUCAGCCAGCACCGCAGCACGGCAGGUCGGCAGUAGGCCAGUAGUCACUAGUCAGCCCACUUUGCCGGUUUCCUUUAAGGCUUUAAUUAAGUCGAUUAGAAGGGGAUAAUCAGUGCUCGGUGCUCCACUGCUCCGUCAUCCACUCAUCCAUAUUUCGUGGCUCUGUAG
Molecule: long non-coding RNA, 637 nt
Organism: Chenopodium quinoa (quinoa)
Lineage: Eukaryota; Viridiplantae; Streptophyta; Magnoliopsida; Caryophyllales; Amaranthaceae
Exons: 2
Source: RefSeq, a predicted model, not a curated record